This 235-nucleotide long non-coding RNA is filed under the name Ananas comosus (pineapple). RNAcentral's name for it is "long non-coding RNA (ACOM_LNC028615)". Lineage: Eukaryota; Viridiplantae; Streptophyta; Magnoliopsida; Poales; Bromeliaceae. The record is from RNAcentral.
AAAGAAUGAAUUUUUAAUAGUACUACAGGAUAAAUAAAGAGGUUCCAUAGUUUUUUUUUUUUGAGAGAGAUAGGUGGCAUGCUAACUGUUUCGUUUAUUUCAUUUAAAACUAAAAAAUUUAACUGAAAAUGUGAAUCAAUUUGAAUUCAAAUUUGGAACUUCGAGUACCAACUAUCAAACCUUUUACCACUUGUAUUAGGGACAGUCAAUGGUUCGAUAGUUUUUUUUUCGUAUG